AUUGAACGCUGGCGGCAUGCCUAACACAUGCAAGUCGAGCGAGCGUCGGACAGGUGAGUAUUGUAUGUGGACCGCCCGAAUGAGGGGGAUAACUCCUCGAAACGGUAUCUAAUACCGCAUACUAUCGUAUCACGCAUAUGGGAGUAGCUAGUAGGUGAGGUAAUGGCUCACCUUGGCGACGAGCCCUAGCUGGUCUGAGAGGAGGAACAGCCACACUGAGACUGAGACACGGCCCAGACUCCUACGGAGGCAGCAGUGGGGAAUAUUGCACAAUGGGCGCAAGCCUGAUGCAGCCAUGCCGCGUGUAUGAAGAAGGCCUUAGGGUUGUAAAGUACUUUAAGUAGGGAAGCGUUAUCGACAGAAGAAGCACCGGCUAACUCCGUGCCAGCAGCCGCGGUAAUUC
RNAcentral lists this ribosomal RNA (403 nucleotides) under uncultured bacterium. RNAcentral describes it as "partial 16S ribosomal RNA". It matches the Rfam family "Bacterial small subunit ribosomal RNA", at positions 30 to 526 of the family's 1533-position model. The record is from RNAcentral.